RNAcentral lists this long non-coding RNA (581 nucleotides) under Androctonus crassicauda. Lineage: Eukaryota; Metazoa; Arthropoda; Arachnida; Scorpiones; Buthidae. The record is from RNAcentral.
GGAGGAGAUCCGGAUGGCGAAGGACGGGGAUGGCCAGGCUGGGCCCAGCACCCCGAAAAAACUUUUCACAAAACCCGGGUGUUUCUGCGUUACCAUUCGGCCGCCUAUCGAUAUCAUGUUAACUGAUGCAAGUAGCAAUCUGUUUCUUAUAACCACAUAUUGUAAAAUAUUGGUGGACAAUAGAUGGCAUCUUUCUAACAAUAAAAAUCAUAACGCUUUACUAAGCUAUAAUUCUAUAAUAUACAACACACCAUUUUGGGCCGAAUUGACCGCUUUUCAUCCAGAGGAUCCAAAUCCCAUUCCUUGAGAAAUUUAGGACAGAUACGGUCUGGUCCCUUCAUAAAUUUUUUAAAAUGUUUAUUGGCCCAUUUCGAUUUCCGCCAUGAUAUUCGAAACAUAUCCUUGAUCAAUUUUCAGAAGCUAUUGUAUGUAAUUUGAAUUUCGAUGAUAGCCUGAAUAAUCGCCAAUUUAAUACCUGGCUUCAUCUUGUGAUUAAAUCAAAUCCCUUUUUAUCUUUUUUUAAUGUCAUUUUAGUCAUCAGUAAUCGUGCCCGAUUUAUGGAUUAAAAAUUUAACAGCUGG